This 445-nucleotide ribosomal RNA is filed under the name Thraustochytriidae sp. Its description in RNAcentral is "SSU rRNA". It matches the Rfam family "Eukaryotic small subunit ribosomal RNA", at positions 982 to 1449 of the family's 1831-position model. Lineage: Eukaryota; Bigyra; Thraustochytrida; Thraustochytriidae. The record is from RNAcentral.
ACCAGACGAUGCGGGAUCGAAGAUGAUUAGAUACCAUCGUAGUCUUAACCAUAAACUAUGCCGACUGAGGAUUCUUGAAAUUUGUAAAUGAAUUUAAGAGCACUCCAUGAGAAAUCAAAGUCUUUGGGUUCCGGGGGGAGUAUGGUCGCAAGUCUGAAACUUAAAGGAAUUGACGGACGGGCACCACCAGGAGUGGAGCCUGCGGCAUAAUUUGACUCAACACGGGAAAACUUACCAGGUCCAGACAUAGUGAGGAUUGACAGAUUUAUAGCUCUUUGUUGAUUCUAUGGGUGGUGGUGCAUGGCCUUUCUUAGUUGGUGGUAUGAACUGUCUGCUUAAUUGCGUUAACGGACGAGACCUCAGCCUACUAAAUAGUACGUGUUAUGGUAACAUAGUAUGAGACUUCUUAGAGGGACAUUUCGGGUUUACCGGAAGGAAGUUCGUG